GUCGGCGACCGGCGCACGGGUGCGUAACGCGUAUGCAACCUACCCAUUACAGGGGGAUAACACUGAGAAAUCGGUACUAAUACCCCAUAACAUCCAGGGAGGCAUCUUCUUGGGUUGAAAACUCCGGUGGUAAUGGAUGGGCAUGCGUUGUAUUAGUUAGUUGGUGGGGUAACGGCUCACCAAGACGACGAUACAUAGGGGGACUGAGAGGUUAACCCCCCACAUUGGUACUGAGACACGGACCAAACUCCUACGGGAGGCAGCAGUGAGGAAUAUUGGUCAAUGGACGCAAGUCUGAACCAGCCAUGCCGCGUGCAGGAAGACGGCUCUAUGAGUUGUAAACUGCUUUUGUACGAGGGUAAACGCAGAUACGUGUAUCUGUCUGAAAGUAUCGUACGAAUAAGGAUCGGCUAACUCCGUGCCAGCAGCCGCGGUAAUACGGAGGAUUCAAGCGUUAUCCGGAUUUAUUGGGUUUAAAGGGUGCGUAGGCGGUCGGAUAAGUUAGAGGUGAAAUCCCGGGGCUCAACUUCGGAAUUGCCUCUGAUACUGUUCGGCUAGAGAGUAGUUGCGGUAGGCGGAAUGUAUGGUGUAGCGGUGAAAUGCUUAGAGAUCAUACAGAACACCGAUUGCGAAGGCAGCUUACCAAGCUACUUCUGACGUUGAGGCACGAAAGCGUGGGGAGCAAACAGGAUUAGAUACCCUGGUAGUCCACGCAGUAAAC
RNAcentral lists this ribosomal RNA (721 nucleotides) under uncultured bacterium. RNAcentral's name for it is "bacterial SSU rRNA". It matches the Rfam family "Bacterial small subunit ribosomal RNA", at positions 87 to 807 of the family's 1533-position model. The record is from RNAcentral.